Long non-coding RNA from Artibeus jamaicensis (Jamaican fruit-eating bat), 268 nucleotides. RefSeq lists it as uncharacterized. Lineage: Eukaryota; Metazoa; Chordata; Mammalia; Chiroptera; Phyllostomidae. The transcript is spliced from 3 exons. The record is from RefSeq and is a predicted model, not a curated record.
UUUCUGUUUCAAGUGCCAGACGGUCGUCCCGGCCCGCGUGGCUCAGUUGGUUGGAGCGGCGUCCCUAGACGGGAAGGCUGCGGGUUCAGUUCCUGGGCAUCUUGACAUGUGUCCCCAUUGUGAAGUUUCCUCUGUAGUGCUUUUUAUUCGGAAAGAGCCUCUUUAAAGGACAAUAUGAAAACAGCUUCUUCACACUGGUUCCAGUGAGAAAUGGAUACAAACACUGGUCACUCGUGGUUAGUGGAAUAUUGAUGUUGCUGCUUCCACA